UCGGACGUUGUGCAGGGUGCACGCCCGCCUCCCGUAUAUUAUCCUUUCCGUGCAUCAAGCGGGAGUACCGGGUUCGAUUCCCGGCGUCCGGU
This is a non-coding RNA of Mycena leptocephala, 92 nucleotides long. Lineage: Eukaryota; Fungi; Basidiomycota; Agaricomycetes; Agaricales; Mycenaceae. The record is from the annotation of a GenBank genome assembly.